RNAcentral lists this long non-coding RNA (214 nucleotides) under Elaeis guineensis (African oil palm). Its description in RNAcentral is "long non-coding RNA (EGUI_LNC002610)". Lineage: Eukaryota; Viridiplantae; Streptophyta; Magnoliopsida; Arecales; Arecaceae. The record is from RNAcentral.
UAGGAGGAGAAGAUUGUUCUCAUUAACCCUUUCACUUGUGUAGAGCUAACCUUGUCGAGGAUUAUAGAGGAGCAUGGACCAGAUCAUUAGUUUGACUUUCCAACAUCGGCUGGUCGACAUCGACCUCAAUCGAUUUGUUGGAUAGAUUGUAAUAUUUUAAUAAAAUUAGAAAGAGGAACAGAUGUAUCAGUCUCCUCUAAAAAAUAAAUAAAAG